RNAcentral lists this ribosomal RNA (497 nucleotides) under uncultured bacterium. RNAcentral describes it as "partial 16S ribosomal RNA". It matches the Rfam family "Bacterial small subunit ribosomal RNA", at positions 28 to 507 of the family's 1533-position model. The record is from RNAcentral.
GAUGAACGCUGGCGGCGUGCCUAAUACAUGCAAGUCGAGCGAACAGACGAGGAGCUUGCUCCGCUGACGUUAGCGGCGGACGGGUGAGUAACACGUGGAUAACCUACCUAUAAGACUGGGAUAACUUCGGGAAACCGGAGCUAAUACCGGAUAAUCUAUUGAACCGCAGGGUGCAAUAGUGAAAGACGGUUGUGCUGUCACUUAUAGAUGGAUCCGCGCCGCAUUAGCUAGUUGGUAAGGUAACGGCUUACCAAGGCAACGAUGCGUUGCCGACCUGAGGGGCGGGUCGGCCGCCUGGGAGCGUGACCGGCCACAAGGCGACUAAGGGAGGCAGCAGUCGGGAAUCUGACGCAACGGGCGAAAGCCUGGCGGAGUAACCGCGCGCGAGUGAUGACGGCCCCCGGAUCGUAAAACCCUGCUAUUAGGGAAGAACCAAUGUCUCCGUAACUAUGCCCGUAUUGACGGUACCUAGUCAGAAAGCACCGGCUAACUACGUG